Molecule: ribosomal RNA, 607 nt
Filed under: Neogloboquadrina dutertrei
Lineage: Eukaryota; Foraminifera; Rotaliida; Globorotaliidae
Description: SSU rRNA
Rfam family: Eukaryotic small subunit ribosomal RNA (bases 1-448)
Source: RNAcentral
CGUUCUUAGUUCGUGGAGUGAUCUGUCUGCUUAAUUGCGUUUCACUAAGGGCCCAUAAAUUCAAGGUAUGUUAGCUAUCGUUUCUCAAUUGACCCCUUGUCUUCGAUAAGCGCGUGUCUUUUAGAGUUUAAACAUUGCGCAUGCUGUUGGGUCCUGAAAGCAACGAACGUGACCGCAACGUCUUAUUGCCUUUAUCUUGCUAUAUUUUAAUUUAAUUAAAAAUAGCUAACAGAGGCUAAUUUAAAAUUAGACGGACCGCUGUACUUUUCUUAAACCAGAGGAAGGUUGCGGCAAUAACAGGUCUGUGAUGCCCUUAGAUGUUCCGGGCUGCACACGUGCUACAAUGAUCAGUACAGUGAGCAUCUCAAUAUUAUACACCGUAUUAAGCGCUUAGUUGCGAUUAUUGGCUCAUUAUUGGGUCUUUUAAUUGUAUUUCUAAUGCGCGCGGUAAAGCCUGCUUCGAGAGUAAGUGGGUAAUCCAUUGGAAGUAAUGAUUUCUCUUUUUAUAGCACACCUAUAUACGGCAUUCAUUCCCGGGACGACUAGUUUCGUCUUUUUUGUGCGAAUGUAAUGUAUUCUUUAUCCGUAUGUGCGAUUGUCAAUUCAU